This is a long non-coding RNA of Corythoichthys intestinalis (scribbled pipefish), 1028 nucleotides long. RefSeq lists it as uncharacterized. The record is from RefSeq and is a predicted model, not a curated record. The transcript is spliced from 3 exons. NCBI's taxonomy places the organism in Eukaryota, Metazoa, Chordata, Actinopteri, Syngnathiformes, Syngnathidae.
GCCAGAUGUGGCCCGGAUCAGCACUAUGACAGUCCAAAUGAUAGGUUACGCACUGUUCUGGGGCGGACAGUACACACCGGACGUGCUCAAACUCCCGCUUAACAUGGGUGAGCCUGGGACCAGGUGCUCGUGAUCAUCGUCAGCAGCUUACUUGAACAGGUCCUUGGCCUCAGAUCAUCGCUAGAUCAACAACUCACCUACAGAUCAUGUACUGCUCGUCUGGCAAAACGACUGCCUGCCCGUUCACCUGUUCUGUCACCAAACUGCCUACCGGAUUCUUUGGACACUAUCUUACACUCCCUGUCAUUUGCCACGUUUACAUGGAGCCAAAUAUUCCAAUUACAAUCGCAAUAUUUGUUCAAACCGAAUAAAUGUGUUCCAUAUAAACACCUCAUUCAGAAUGAACAGGCCCAAACCGAAUGGAAUUUCAUUCCGAUUCACAGGGGUGGAAUAUUCCUUUUCCCAAACCGAUUAGAAGUAAAAUUAUAUCAUAUAAACAGGGAAGCGGAAUGGUGUCUGGUUGCGUUCUUUCUGCGCAUGCUCCCUACUGACGUGGUGACGUCACUCGGUGACGUAAGUAACUUCACUUGCAACAUGGCUUCCAAGCACACGCACAGCGCACCCACACAACUUUUUAAAUGAACGGCGUAUCAUUCUGAAGUUUUGUUUCCACUCGAAAAGUUAAAACAGCAGCUGAUCUGACGAUCGAUCUCCAUGUUUUGCAACGUGACGCUUUGUUUUGAUUAAUCUGCGCAUGUCAGACGGCAGUUGUCAAACGUCCUUUCGGAAUAAAGGCAGUCACAUGUAAACGCGGGAUCGGAAUAGAUGAAGUGACAUGUAAACAGCUGAUGUGAAAUUUCCAUUCGGAAUGAUUUGAAUCGGUAUGAAUAAAAGUCAGCAUGUAAACGUGGCUAUUGUCAAUGAAUUAGGUCCCCUGUUACCCCAGCACCUUAACAAAUACAUUAUGUUGUUUACAGUCUAAAAAUGGUUCAUCUUUAAUGUUGAGUUGCUUGUUCCAAUGAAAAUAU